CUCUACAGCCAUACUACUCUGAAUGCUCCUGACCUCAUCUGAUCUUGGAGGCUAAGUAGAGUCGGGCCUGGUUAAUACUUGGACAGGAGAAAAGAUCUAAACCCAUGUAAUCAUGUUGAAC
Aotus nancymaae (Ma's night monkey) is the source of this 121-nucleotide ribosomal RNA. The record is from Ensembl. Lineage: Eukaryota; Metazoa; Chordata; Mammalia; Primates; Aotidae.